This 278-nucleotide ribosomal RNA is filed under the name uncultured Eubacterium sp. RNAcentral describes it as "partial 16S ribosomal RNA". It matches the Rfam family "Bacterial small subunit ribosomal RNA", at positions 511 to 788 of the family's 1533-position model. Lineage: Bacteria; Bacillati; Bacillota; Clostridia; Eubacteriales; Eubacteriaceae. The record is from RNAcentral.
GCAGCCGCGGUAAUACGUAUGGAGCAAGCGUUAUCCGGAUUUACUGGGUGUAAAGGGUGCGUAGGUGGCGAGGCAAGUCAGAUGUGAAAUACCGGGGCUCAACCCCGGGGCUGCAUUUGAAACUGUCUUGCUGGAGUACAGGAGAGGCAGGCGGAAUUCCUAGUGUAGCGGUGAAAUGCGUAGAUAUUAGGAGGAACACCAGUGGCGAAGGCGGCCUGCUGGACUGUUACUGACACUGAGGCACGAAAGCGUGGGGAGCAAACAGGAUUAGAUACCCC